UCUCGGGCCCGAGUUGUAAUUUGUAGAGGAUGCUUUUGAUGCGGUGCCUUCCGAGUUCCCUGGAACGGGACGCCAUAGAGGGUGAGAGCCCCGUCUGGUUGGAUGCCAAAUCUCUGUAAAGCUCCUUCGACGAGUCGAGUAGUUUGGGAAUGCUGCUCUAAAUGGGAGGUAUAUGUCUUCUAAAGCUAAAUACCGGCCAGAGACCGAUAGCGCACAAGUAGAGUGAUCGAAAGAUGAAAAGCACUUUGAAAAGAGAGUUAAAAAGUACGUGAAAUUGUUGAAAGGGAAGCGUUUAUGACCAGACUUGGGCUUGGUUAAUCAUCUGGGGUUCUCCCCAGUGCACUUUUCCAGUCCAGGCCAGCAUCAGUUUUCGCCGGGGGAUAAAGACUUCGGGAAUGUGGCUCCCUCCGGGGAGUGUUAUAGCCCGUUGUGUAAUACCCUGGCGGGGACUGAGGUUCGCGCUUCUGCAAGGAUGCUGGCGUAAUGGUCAUCAACGACCCGUCUUGAAACACGGACCAAGGAGUCGUCUUCGUAUGCGAGUGUUCGGGUGUCAAACCCCUACGCGUAAUGAAAGUGAACGCAGGUGAGAGCUUCGGCGCAUCAUCGACCGAUCCUGAUGUUCUCGGAUGGAUUUGAGUAAGAGCAUACGGGGCCGGACCCGAAAGAAGGUGAACUAUGCCUGUGUAGGGUGAAGCCAGAGGAAACU
RNAcentral lists this ribosomal RNA (706 nucleotides) under Fusarium sublunatum. RNAcentral's name for it is "partial large subunit ribosomal RNA". It matches the Rfam family "Eukaryotic large subunit ribosomal RNA", at positions 130 to 863 of the family's 3401-position model. The record is from RNAcentral. Lineage: Eukaryota; Fungi; Ascomycota; Sordariomycetes; Hypocreales; Nectriaceae.